UGAAAGUUCCAACCCCUCAAAUGUGAGAAUUUAGGUUUUCUCGUUUAUUAUAUUUUUGACUAUUAGUCAAAAGAUAUUUAAAGAAUUCUACUUGGGCUCUAUGAAGUUUUGUUAGACCAAAUGAUCAGUCAACAAAAUAACUGGCUGAUCGCCACAUUAAAUUACAUUGGCUGCCAGCACCUCUAGCUGCAUGUUUUUAAAAAAAAUUUGAGCCCUCAUACUGUAUCUCCAGUAGAAAUUGUGUGAAAAUUACAAAAGUGGCUAUAUUUAUAAUGUAUGAUUAUGGAUUAAAUAAUUGCAAAGUAGCUAAAAUGGAAGCAUAAACAGCUGAACUGGAGGAAAUACAUUGAAUCGCUUCCUCUUUAAUAUUCAAAAUCUUACAAUAAAUUCCAUAAAGUCACUUUUAUAAAUGCAAACAUUUAUGAAAACAAACAUGAUGGUGAAGUGGUUGAACAUACUGCACCUUCCCAGGAUAAAAGAAUAUGCAGCAAUCCUUCCUGAGAGAUUUCCAAAUGUGUCCCAUAGUCAAGAGAUUCUUCCAGAGUCUGACUGAAGAGCAGUUCAGGGAAUUGAGUAAAGUGGUUUACAAUCAAGAUUUGACGAAGGUGCUUAGGUGCAUACCUUAUGUGUGGAUGUAGUGAAGCUGACCACAGACUACAUCACGAAAGUACAGUCAUCCAUCCACCUCUGACGUCUUCAACCAACCUAGACCCAUAUGAUGAAAGCGCCACUGGAGGCGACAUCCCUGUGAGGACAUCACCCCAGUUCACCGGGGCCAUAGGAUGGUCAACUUUCCUCAAGAAGAAAGAGGAGAAAAAAAAACAAGGACGCAGAAGCCAUGGUAGGAACACCUGUCAAGUCCCUAUGGAUCGAGGUUGUGAUUUCAGCCAUCUCUCUCCCCUCUGCCCCUUCUCCCAUGUCUCCAUUGUUUCCUUCUCUCCACCCUUUUCCACCACAUACACACUAACAUACCUCUGCUCACAACCAUGUCAGUGCACACAACUUUUAUUUAUGCCAAAUUGUGCUCACUGGCUUCCAUUACAGGGCCAAGAGCAAAGUAAAGAGGGAACAAGAUCUCUUUGUGCCUGACACUCAAAGCAGCAAGCUGGAGUCCCCUGAACACCUUGUGCUAAAGAAAACCAAACAAGAACUCUUAAAGCAUUUCUUUACUUCAUGGCAUUUUUUUCUUUCCAGUAUAUAUAACAUACACACAAAGUAAUAACAGAACACCUAACACAAACAAUGAUGAUGAGAAGUCAAAGGCCAUUUGUCCUUUAUACACCAGGUACUAUACAAAAGCCCUCAGUAUAGAUUGCAAUCCAACACAUUCUUUCACCACAAAGUUGAAGUCAUUCAAAGCUGAACUAUUCAACCUACUGUGUUAGAUGAGAACAAGUGAACUAAAAGUGUGUGUGUUAUUCUAAUAUUGACAUUACUGUGGAAAAUCUCUGGUAAAUAUUGUCAUUUCUGCUACUGUCAGCUACAGAGCAUCCCUCGGCUCAAGGGGAAGGUAUAUAAAACUCUUUCACCCAAGAAUAUAACUCAAUAGUACAAAAUAAAGCUUAUACUGUCAUUAACCCAAAGCUGUUACAGAGCCACUGCAUUAGCAGCGUAUGGAUUUUCAUCAUUACCACUCACACCUCUUGGUAAAACUGUCCUGAAUCCUGGAAAUAAAAUGACAUGAACCUCUACAACUUACUGCAGACAAUGAUCAAUAACUUGGCGUUUGAAAGAAAUCUGCUACUUUAUAAAGAAGCACAGGAUGAAAUAUUUAGGUUCUCACAGGUGUGUGACAUGGAACCAUUUUCACUUCUGAAUGUGCAAAAGUAACUACUUAGCAGAAUAAUUAU
Monopterus albus (swamp eel) is the source of this 1850-nucleotide long non-coding RNA. RefSeq lists it as uncharacterized. The record is from RefSeq and is a predicted model, not a curated record. NCBI's taxonomy places the organism in Eukaryota, Metazoa, Chordata, Actinopteri, Synbranchiformes, Synbranchidae. The transcript is spliced from 2 exons.